CCCAUAAAAUAUCGGGGUGGGACCUGGUCGGUGCUCAAGAAAAUAAAAAAUAAAUUUUGAGUAAACACACGCCUUAACGUGAGGGUGAUAAUGUAGCAUAAUAAUUUGGCAUUUAAUUGAUGUCUAGAAGGAAUGGUGAAACAAUUUUCCACUUGUCUCACCCAUUUGACCUUAAAAUUUGAAAAUAUAGUCAAGAUGCUAUAUAGUGAUUGAAGGACGAGAAGACCCCAUAAACCUUUACUAUAAAAUUCUUAGAUUAGAAUCAAUAAAAUUAUUUAUAGGCUAAUUUAAUAAAUUUUGGUAGUUUAGCUGGGGCGGCUGCUUUCUAUAUCCCAUUUUGAAACGAAAGUUUAAUAAAAAGACAUCUAUAACCAUAAGAUCCCAUUAACUCGAAUUAGACAAAAUUCUUAUUUCGAUUUUAUUAUUAUAAGACCUAUUAAUUCAUAAGUUAAUCAUCAAAUGAUAAAAGGUACUUUGGGGAUAACAGCGUUAUCCAAACCGAGAGAAUAUAUCCAAGUUUGGGUUUGCGACCUCGAUGUUGAAUUGGGAUUUCCUUUGGAGACAGGUGUCCAAAAGGGUUGGAUUGUUCAUCCAAUAAAAUCUUACAUGAUUUGAGUU
Molecule: ribosomal RNA, 618 nt
Filed under: Amphogona apicata
Lineage: Eukaryota; Metazoa; Cnidaria; Hydrozoa; Trachymedusae; Rhopalonematidae
Description: partial 16S ribosomal RNA
Rfam family: Bacterial large subunit ribosomal RNA
Source: RNAcentral